UACGUAGGGGGCUAGCGUUGUCCGGAAUCAUUGGGCGUAAAGCGCGUGUAGGCGGUUCGGUAAGUCCGCUGUGAAAGUCGGGGGCUCAACCCUCGAAUGCCGGUGGAUACUGUCGGGCUAGAGUGCGGAAGAGGCGAGUGGAAUUCCUGGUGUAGCGGUGAAAUGCGCAGAUAUCAGGAGGAACACCUAUUGCGAAGGCAGCUCGCUGGGACGUUACUGACGCUGAGACGCGAAAGCGUGGGGAGCAAACAGG
RNAcentral lists this ribosomal RNA (253 nucleotides) under uncultured bacterium. RNAcentral describes it as "partial 16S ribosomal RNA". It matches the Rfam family "Bacterial small subunit ribosomal RNA", at positions 524 to 776 of the family's 1533-position model. The record is from RNAcentral.